This 422-nucleotide ribosomal RNA is filed under the name uncultured bacterium. Its description in RNAcentral is "partial 16S ribosomal RNA". It matches the Rfam family "Bacterial small subunit ribosomal RNA", at positions 359 to 773 of the family's 1533-position model. The record is from RNAcentral.
GAAUUUUGGACAAUGGGCGAAAGCCUGAUCCAGCAAUGCCGCGUGCAGGAUGAAGGCCUUCGGGUUGUACACUGCUUUUGUACGGAACGAAAAGCUUUGGGUUAAUACCCUGGAGUCAUGACGGUACCGUAAGAAUAAGCACCGGCUCACUACGUUCCAGCAGCCGCGGUAAUACGUAGGGUGCAAGCGGUAACCGGAAGUACUGGGCGGAAAGCGUGCGCAGGCGGUUUUGUAAGACAGAGGUGAAAGCCCCGGGCUGAACCGGGGAACUGCCUUUGUGACUGCAAGGCUAGAGUACGGCAGAGGGGGGUGGAAUGCCGCGUGUAGCAGUGAAAUGCGUAGAUAUGCGGAGGAACACCGAUGGCGAAGGCAACCCCCUGGGCCUGUACUGACGCUCAUGCACGAAAGCGUGGGGAGCAAAC